Molecule: long non-coding RNA, 2263 nt
Organism: Apis cerana (Asiatic honeybee)
Lineage: Eukaryota; Metazoa; Arthropoda; Insecta; Hymenoptera; Apidae
Source: RefSeq, a predicted model, not a curated record
ACAUAGUAUAAAAUGAUAUAAAAGAUACGAAAAAUCAUACGAUGUCAUAAUUUUGCAGAUGCAUAUCAUCGCGAAACUUAACCUAAAAGUCGAUAUAUGCGUGGCAACAUACUUGAAACUGUGCGAGUCAACCUUUAAACCGCACAUAUUACUGCUUUCUCUCACCAGCUGCUCGCGUUUGCGCAGAAACGAGACGCGUUGAUAAUAGCUCGAUAAAGGAGAAUUUAAAUACCUAUUAAAACUAAGGAUUAUGACUUGGCGGACGAAUACACGAACAUUCGUUUCUCAGACGGCAGACGCAAUAAAAACGUCUAGCUCGAUUGUAAAUACAGUGGUUGGUGUUUAAACAUCCGGAUUCUCGUGACACGAGGGAUCUGCAGCGUCUUUUUGGUCGAGCCACGAACAAAGGAAAGGGCCUGAGAUCUGGCAACAAGGGAAACCUUUCGGAAAGGAUACACCAUAGUGGCGAUCAUGGUGGCUAAGCACGAUGCCUCCGUCCUCCAAAAAACAUCUGUCGGAAGACAGACCUGCAUAAACGCACGUUUCGCCUCUUUCUUUGCUAACACCGGCUGGUGCUCCACGAAAAAUACCAUCGCUUCGUAAAUGCAAUUCACCGAGAAAUUUAAAACGUUUGGAAAUCCAAUAUCCGAUUUUUGCGAAGUGGUUUAGUUUUUAAGAAUAUAAUAUUUUUAGAUACGUACAUUUUGUGAAUUUUUUUAAUUAUAAAAAAUAACGUUGAUUGAUUAAUGUAUAUUUAUCGUUUAAAGUUAUUUACAUAGUUUUUUAAUAAUCGAUAUAAAGAUAUUUGUUGCAUACCAAGAAUUAUUUAUUAUAUAGAUGAAAUUUUGAUUAUUACGUAUUAUUACGUAUCUAAUCUAAAUAUUUUAAUAUUAAUUUUAUUUAUUCAUUUAAUAAGAAUAGAAUACUCAAAAUCUCAAAACGCAGUUAAGAAUAAUUUACAUUGUAAAUUUCGUUUGAAAUUCACAUUUUCGGGAGAAUUUAUUUUAGAUAUUCCUUAAAAAAAUCUAAUAUUUAGGAAUUUUUUAUUUGAAAAAUAAGUAAAGAAAGACGUAAACUUUGUAAUUUUAAUAAAUAUAAUUUAUUAAAUAUUCAUAUUUAUUUAAAAUAGUUUAGAAUAUUAUAGAGAAAAUUUAAUUUUUUAAAACACGAAACUAGACCAAAAGAAAAAUUUAAAUAUUCAUAAUAUUAACAAAGCCAAUAGUAAUGUACAAUGAUUAGAGUAGAAAGGAGUCUGGUGCAUAAACCUGUAAGCCCUGACCUGAAGCAUCGUGCACGGUCAGACCAUAGAUCAAACUCUGUCUUGGUAACUUGAAAACGAACUUAUUCUAAAACCGUGUAUUCAUUGAACUACAUUGAAGGUUUGAAGAUAGACAAAAGAAAAGGACGAAACCUCAUAAUGGAAAAUCCACAUCCAUUGGAAUACAAAGAGAAGAUUGUGCAUCCAUGAAUACAAAAGAUUUCUUGUGGGUCAGGAGCGUGGGUAGAAGCAAGGAACUGGAGCGCCCCUUCUACAACCUGCCCCUCCUCGUUUCUACUUUCACCCUGCACCUUCUGCGUUUAUCCAGCUCUGUGGAGUGCAUAUUACUGGAAAACAUCUGCUGGGAAUGUAGGCGAGCUCUGGCAUUGACGAUGCAUGUUCCAUAUCAAUUAAUAUCGGCGAUAAAUUCAGUAACGGUAAAUUCAGAUAUAGAAAAAUUGUAUCGAAGCAUCGAGUAAUUUUCACAAAUUUUCUAACUAACAAUUAUUAAAAUAAUUUUUCUAAUUUUUUCUCUUUCUGUCUUUUCUUCUCCAUAUCUUUUAACGUAUAGGAUAAAAGAAAUGUUGCAAUGAAUUUGUUAAUUCUUAUCAUUGAUUUAUAUAUAAAUUAUUAUUUAAGCCAAUAUACUUUCUAAGAAUAUAGAGAUUUGAAUAUUUUUUAUUAUUUAUUGGGAUAAAUAAUUUCUAAUUUUUUAGUUUUUUUUUCUUUUUUUUUUAUUUUAAUACUUAUCGAUUUAAUUGAUCUAUUUUAACAUGGAUUAUAGUCUUAGUUAGAAACAAAUAAAUUAUCAAUCUGAUUUUAUUAAGUGUUUUUAAAUCACGUUGGACUAAUAAACCAAAUAAAUGAUAGUGAAUAUAUAGCGUUUGGAAAAUAGAUUGAAAAUAAACUUUCUAUUCUAAUUUUAUUUCGUUUCGGCAACAUAUUAUCACGCCAUAUGUUGUAUUGACGUAUCGAUAAAUAAAACCGACUUUCUUUUGAUUUUUU